AUUGAACGCUGGCGGCAUGCCUUACACAUGCAAGUCGAACGGUAACAGGUCCUCGGAUGCUGACGAGUGGCGAACGGGUGAGUAAUACAUCGGAACGUGCCUAGUAGUGGGGGAUAACUACUCGAAAGAGUGGCUAAUACCGCAUGAGAUCUACGGAUGAAAGCAGGGGAUCGCAAGACCUUGUGCUACUAGAGCGGCCGAUGGCAGAUUAGGUAGUUGGUGGGAUAAAAGCUUACCAAGCCGACGAUCUGUAGCUGGUCUGAGAGGACGAUCAGCCACACUGGGACUGAGACACGGCCCAGACUCCUACGGGAGGCAGCAGUGGGGGAUUCUGGACAAUGGGCGAAAGCCUGAUCCAGCAAUGCCGCGUGCAGGAUGAAGGCCUUCGGGUUGUAAACUGCUUUUGUACGGAACGAAAAGCCCCGGGUUAAUACCCUGGGGUCAUGACGGUACCGUAAGAAUAAGCACCGGCUAACUACGUGCCAGCCGCCGCGGUAA
This 498-nucleotide ribosomal RNA is filed under the name uncultured bacterium. RNAcentral describes it as "partial 16S ribosomal RNA". It matches the Rfam family "Bacterial small subunit ribosomal RNA", at positions 30 to 523 of the family's 1533-position model. The record is from RNAcentral.